GUCUGUCUUAGUCUGGGUUCUGAGA
RNAcentral lists this non-coding RNA (25 nucleotides) under Mus musculus (house mouse). Lineage: Eukaryota; Metazoa; Chordata; Mammalia; Rodentia; Muridae. The record is from RNAcentral.